This 76-nucleotide transfer RNA is filed under the name Halobacteriovoraceae bacterium. Its description in RNAcentral is "tRNA-Thr". It matches the Rfam family "tRNA". From Rfam's summary of the family: Transfer RNA (tRNA) molecules are approximately 80 nucleotides in length. Their secondary structure includes four short double-helical elements and three loops (D, anti-codon, and T loops). Further hydrogen bonds mediate the characteristic L-shaped molecular structure. tRNAs have two regions of fundamental functional importance: the anti-codon, which is responsible for specific mRNA codon recognition, and the 3' end, to which the tRNAs corresponding amino acid is attached (by aminoacyl-tRNA synthetases). tRNAs cope with the degeneracy of the genetic code in two manners: having more than one tRNA (with a specific anti-codon) for a particular amino acid; and 'wobble' base-pairing, i.e. permitting non-standard base-pairing at the 3rd anti-codon position. Lineage: Bacteria; Pseudomonadati; Bdellovibrionota; Bacteriovoracia; Bacteriovoracales; Halobacteriovoraceae. The record is from RNAcentral.
GCUGGCUUAGCUCAGUUGGUAGAGCAAUGGUUUUGUAAACCAUAGGUCGUAGGUUCAAAUCCUAUAGCCAGCUCCA